Molecule: ribosomal RNA, 1406 nt
Filed under: Escherichia coli
Lineage: Bacteria; Pseudomonadati; Pseudomonadota; Gammaproteobacteria; Enterobacterales; Enterobacteriaceae
Description: partial 23S ribosomal RNA
Rfam family: Bacterial large subunit ribosomal RNA
Source: RNAcentral
UGUGUGUUAGUGGAAGCGUCUGGAAAGGCGCGCGAUACAGGGUGACAGCCCCGUACACAAAAAUGCACAUGCUGUGAGCUCGAUGAGUAGGGCGGGACACGUGGUAUCCUGUCUGAAUAUGGGGGGACCAUCCUCCAAGGCUAAAUACUCCUGACUGACCGAUAGUGAACCAGUACCGUGAGGGAAAGGCGAAAAGAACCCCGGCGAGGGGAGUGAAAAAGAACCUGAAACCGUGUACGUACAAGCAGUGGGAGCACGCUUAGGCGUGUGACUGCGUACCUUUUGUAUAAUGGGUCAGCGACUUAUAUUCUGUAGCAAGGUUAACCGAAUAGGGGAGCCGAAGGGAAACCGAGUCUUAACUGGGCGUUAAGUUGCAGGGUAUAGACCCGAAACCCGGUGAUCUAGCCAUGGGCAGGUUGAAGGUUGGGUAACACUAACUGGAGGACCGAACCGACUAAUGUUGAAAAAUUAGCGGAUGACUUGUGGCUGGGGGUGAAAGGCCAAUCAAACCGGGAGAUAGCUGGUUCUCCCCGAAAGCUAUUUAGGUAGCGCCUCGUGAAUUCAUCUCCGGGGGUAGAGCACUGUUUCGGCAAGGGGGUCAUCCCGACUUACCAACCCGAUGCAAACUGCGAAUACCGGAGAAUGUUAUCACGGGAGACACACGGCGGGUGCUAACGUCCGUCGUGAAGAGGGAAACAACCCAGACCGCCAGCUAAGGUCCCAAAGUCAUGGUUAAGUGGGAAACGAUGUGGGAAGGCCCAGACAGCCAGGAUGUUGGCUUAGAAGCAGCCAUCAUUUAAAGAAAGCGUAAUAGCUCACUGGUCGAGUCGGCCUGCGCGGAAGAUGUAACGGGGCUAAACCAUGCACCGAAGCUGCGGCAGCGACACUAUGUGUUGUUGGGUAGGGGAGCGUUCUGUAAGCCUGUGAAGGUGUACUGUGAGGUAUGCUGGAGGUAUCAGAAGUGCGAAUGCUGACAUAAGUAACGAUAAAGCGGGUGAAAAGCCCGCUCGCCGGAAGACCAAGGGUUCCUGUCCAACGUUAAUCGGGGCAGGGUGAGUCGACCCCUAAGGCGAGGCCGAAAGGCGUAGUCGAUGGGAAACAGGUUAAUAUUCCUGUACUUGGUGUUACUGCGAAGGGGGGACGGAGAAGGCUAUGUUGGCCGGGCGACGGUUGUCCCGGUUUAAGCGUGUAGGCUGGUUUUCCAGGCAAAUCCGGAAAAUCAAGGCUGAGGCGUGAUGACGAGGCACUACGGUGCUGAAGCAACAAAUGCCCUGCUUCCAGGAAAAGCCUCUAAGCAUCAGGUAACAUCAAAUCGUACCCCAAACCGACACAGGUGGUCAGGUAGAGAAUACCAAGGCGCUUGAGAGAACUCGGGUGAAGGAACUAGGCAAAAUGGUGCCGUAACU